CUCCAACGUUGGAGGGAUUUACAUAAAGAAGAAGAAGAAUGCAGACAACAAGCUGGGUUAUUUUACGAUUUUUGUUCAUUUUUUCUUCUUCUUCUUCUUCUUUCAGUACAGAGUCGGACUCUUCUUGAGUGUAUAAAUGACUCUUGCUCGUGAAAUCAUGAGGCCUUCCCUCCUCACUUAAUAAAAACUAUUUACAGGAAAAUUAUUUACAAAUAAAACUAUGUACAUCUGGGGUCAAAGGAGAUCUAGGUGUGUGAAGCUCCUGUCAAGGCCUCUGGCAGGAUGGUAAGGCUGGCCUUGAACUCUUCUAGUGUAGCUGCUGUUGUGGCUUUUUCCGGUAGAGUGUUCCAUUCCCUGGUUGAUCUUGGGAAGAAGGAGUACCUGUAUUGGUCUUUUAGAGUGCGCUGUUGGUGUAUGCGGUGGCCUCCUCUGGUCCUUGAAUCUCCGGGUUUGUAAUUAUUAGAGGGGUCAAU
This 473-nucleotide long non-coding RNA is filed under the name Mytilus galloprovincialis (Mediterranean mussel). The record is from RNAcentral. Lineage: Eukaryota; Metazoa; Mollusca; Bivalvia; Mytilida; Mytilidae.